Callithrix jacchus (white-tufted-ear marmoset) is the source of this 728-nucleotide non-coding RNA. Lineage: Eukaryota; Metazoa; Chordata; Mammalia; Primates; Cebidae. The record is from the annotation of a RefSeq genome assembly.
UUUUAACUUCGUGAUAGUGUUUUUAGUGUUACUCUAAGCCCAGGGGAGUUUCUUGAAGCAAAAAACAAACAAAAGAAAAAACCCAUCAGGGAAAUCAUUCUUUGCUGAUAAGGAUGCUCCUUGAACAUUUAUUAAUAAUCCUCUGGAUACAGCUGACAUGGGUCAGUGGUCAACAGCUGAAUCAGAGUCCUCAGUCUAUGUCUAUCCAGGAAGGAGAGGAUGUCUCCAUGAACUGCACUUCUUCAAGCACAUUUAACCCUUUGCUAUGGUACAAGCAGGACGCUGGGGAAGGUCCUGUCCUCUUGAUAACCUUAUAUAUGGGUGGUGAAUUGACCAGGAAUGGGAGACUGACUGCUCAGUUUGGUAUAACCAGAAAGGACAGCUUCCUGAAUAUCUCAGCCUCUGUGCCUGAUGAUGUAGGCACCUACUUCUGUGCCGGGCAACACAGUGCUCCCCAAGCACCUACAGCCUGUACUCAAACUUGCAGCUGGGACUGUAGUCUCUAUGCUGCCUUCAGCUCUUAGUCCUCUUGGCAUGAAAUGUAAUUAUGCAUGCUACCUAUGACCCUGUUAUUCCAUUACUCUAUUAUUCCAACUCUCCUUUAUCCAAGGAUUUGUCCAAAGAUUGUGCUCUUUGCUUGAUGAAUUUGCCCCUGUCGAUUCAUUUUUAAUGUAUGUAAUAAAUAUCUUUGUUAUUUCUGUCAAGAUAUGAGGAGAACUGAUCAACAC